GGAGUUGUAGCUCAGGGGUUGAGCGCUUGCCUCAAACGCAUGAGGCACUGGGUUCAAUCCUCAGCACCCCA
RNAcentral lists this transfer RNA (71 nucleotides) under Marmota marmota marmota (Alpine marmot). It matches the Rfam family "tRNA". Rfam says of the family: Transfer RNA (tRNA) molecules are approximately 80 nucleotides in length. Their secondary structure includes four short double-helical elements and three loops (D, anti-codon, and T loops). Further hydrogen bonds mediate the characteristic L-shaped molecular structure. tRNAs have two regions of fundamental functional importance: the anti-codon, which is responsible for specific mRNA codon recognition, and the 3' end, to which the tRNAs corresponding amino acid is attached (by aminoacyl-tRNA synthetases). tRNAs cope with the degeneracy of the genetic code in two manners: having more than one tRNA (with a specific anti-codon) for a particular amino acid; and 'wobble' base-pairing, i.e. permitting non-standard base-pairing at the 3rd anti-codon position. Lineage: Eukaryota; Metazoa; Chordata; Mammalia; Rodentia; Sciuridae. The record is from Rfam by way of RNAcentral. RNAcentral also lists the same sequence under 1 other name.